UUGCGCUCUCGGGAUAGGCCUGAGAGCACGCCUCUUUGAGCAUCGAUUCUACCACAAGUCGACGACGUCCUUGCAAAAGGAUGUGCAGUCGGACAUUGAGCCUUGCCGGCCGUUCGCGGCUAAGCUGGCUUCAAAUAGAGCGAGAUACACAGCGAUCCUUCUGACACAUCAGGAGUGAUUUGUGACGUGGAUAACUUCACUACUCGUGAACCUUCCAAUACGUGACAGUCUCUCAUUCAACUGCUGUGCUAGUGGAAAGCAACGUGUGUUGGAUCGUCAUUCGUGACAACUCUUUUGAAUUAGAUCUCAAAUGAAGCGAGACAACCCGCUGAACUUAAGCAUAUCAUUAAGCGGAGGAAAAGAAACUAACAAGGAUGCCCUCAGUAACGGCGAGUGAAGCGGGCAAAGCUCAAACUGAAAAUCGGAGCUCCAUGCGGGGCCUCGAAUUGUAGUCUAUAGACGCGCCAUCAGCGAUGAACCGGGUAUAAAUCUUUUGAAACAAGGUGUCAUAGAGGGUGAGAACCCC
RNAcentral lists this ribosomal RNA (526 nucleotides) under Eocercomonas ramosa. RNAcentral describes it as "eukaryotic LSU rRNA". The stretch from base 302 to 526 matches the Rfam family "Eukaryotic large subunit ribosomal RNA", at positions 1 to 222 of the family's 3401-position model. The record is from RNAcentral. Lineage: Eukaryota; Cercozoa; Cercomonadida; Cercomonadidae.